Molecule: long non-coding RNA, 775 nt
Filed under: Homo sapiens (human)
Lineage: Eukaryota; Metazoa; Chordata; Mammalia; Primates; Hominidae
Description: HSALNT0320773
Source: RNAcentral
GCCUUGGUCUUCCAAAUCAUUGCACAAAAUUAAUUAAACUUUUCCCUAUUAGAUAUCCAACUGCUUUUUAUUUCAGAAGUGAAGUUACAUUACUGAUGGGUAUAAUGCUCCAUAGUGGCUUAUUACUUAUUCUCCUUUAGAACAAAACCUCUCUUUAGUGGAUAAUGUAUUUCCAUAUGCUGCUUUACCUUGUUGCUGUUAUUGUUUUGCAAGCUCGAACAAUAUGCUGAAAGUUCCAGUGAACAGGUGAACUUCUAAUUGUAUUUUUAAAUAAUGCAUUCAUCAUUUUAAAAGUCUGCCAUUGUCUGAAAUGACUGACAUCAUGUUUCUUUUUACAGAGAUUUAUCUUUUACCCACCACAAGUACCACCAUUUUUCCCUCAGGUCCUCUUUCCCCUACCUCCGCAACCGCCCCUGGUCCUCACACCUAAUGAUCUUAUCGCGUUACUCAUUGCUAUUUUGAACCAACUAGGGAUUUUAUUUCCAUGACUAAAUUGAUAAAGGUAAGUUAUAUUCAAUGCCACGAAAGGUAAGAGAAACUCUUUGUAACUAUAAAAAUAUGAGAGUCAACCUCAACUGAUCUACCAAACUAGAACUCAUAAGUUAUAAACUCAUUUCCUCCAAAAUCUUUACAUCAAAAUUUUUGCCAGUCUAAAAAGGUAUUUUUUAAUAAUGUCCUUGAUAUUUCACAAAAUUUAAAUUUACAGGCAUAUAUGCAAUAUGAAAUUUCAAACAACAAAGUUUGCUUCAGGCUUUUUUUUUUUUUUUUUUGAGGA